GCAUGGGGUGUGGGGAAAGCUUUCGUGGCAUGGGAUGGGGUCGCGUCCUAUCAGCUUGUUGGCGGGGUGAGGGCCCACCAAGGCGUUGACGGGUAGCCGGCCUGAGAGGGCGACCGGCCACAUUGGGACUGAGAUACGGCCCAGACUCCUACGGGAGGCAGCAGUGGGGAAUAUUGCACAAUGGGCGCAAGCCUGAUGCAGCGACGCCGCGUGCUGGGAUGGAGGCCUUCGGGUUGUAAACCGCUUUUGUUUGGGAGCAAGCCCUUCGGGGUGAGUGUACCUUUCGAAUAAGCACCGGCUAACUACGUGCCAGCAGCCGCGGUAAUACGUAGGGUGCNAGCGUUAUCCGGAAUUAUUGGGCGUAAAGGGCUCGUAGGCGGUUCGUCGCGUCCGGUGUGAAAGUCCAUCGCUUAACGGUGGAUCCGCGUCGGGUACGGGCGGGCUGGAGUGCGGUAGGGGAGACUGGAAUUCCC
RNAcentral lists this ribosomal RNA (473 nucleotides) under uncultured Bifidobacterium sp. RNAcentral's name for it is "bacterial SSU rRNA". It matches the Rfam family "Bacterial small subunit ribosomal RNA", at positions 188 to 671 of the family's 1533-position model. Lineage: Bacteria; Bacillati; Actinomycetota; Actinomycetes; Bifidobacteriales; Bifidobacteriaceae. The record is from RNAcentral.